RNAcentral lists this long non-coding RNA (1023 nucleotides) under Apteryx haastii (Great spotted kiwi). Its description in RNAcentral is "lncRNA (ENSAHAG00000010112.1)". Lineage: Eukaryota; Metazoa; Chordata; Aves; Apterygiformes; Apterygidae. The record is from RNAcentral.
AUGAGGCUUGCGGAUCCAGAUAAGGAGCAGUGGCGAAUGCACAGGCAAGAGCCUGCUAACGCGCGGGGGCGCGUGCGAGCGUGCACCAUCRCCUGGCGGGGUGUUUGCACUGGCGUGUCACUCCCCUGCAUGCGGCUCCGCGUGUGCAUGGUGUGGGUGCCAGCGUGCACCAUCGCCCGCAGUGCGUUUGCACUGGCACGUUGCCUCUCGCCUGCCUGUGCCCCAUCGCUCAGUGGUGCGUUUGCACCAGUGCAUCGCCCUCAUGCACAGCGCGCUGCGCGUGUGCACACCCUGCGCGAGGGCAGCCGGCGCCUCCACCCAGACGACGCACACGGUCGCUCACUUGCCCUCCUGAACGCAAGAGCAGGUUAUUUACUGAUUGCUGUUACUGCAGGUUGCUGGUCUCUGAACCCUGCAGCGUGUCUGCGACGUCCCCGUCCCUGCACGGCCGCGGAGGGGUUGACGCCGUCGCUGAGAACUCCAAAGGAGCAGACGCCCCAGCAGGGUUUUUGUGUCUUCAUUGCAAGGCCAGGUGCACAGGGAGAGGUGGCAAUUGCUGUCAGUCCCGCGGAUACAUCUGGAAAAAAAGCGGAAGCGUUCAGGCACGGGAGCAAGCCCUCGCACAAGUGCCGAAGCAGGGGUGCCGCUCUUCCUGCAGGCGCUCCACCGCGUUCCCGCCGCGCACGGGCAGGAGCGGGAGCGGGGCGAACCGCAGCGUUAUUGCGCCGCGCGGGGCCGCUGCGUCCCGGCCCCUCCUCGACCCGCCGCCCCGCGGCCGCCCGGGGUCUUCCCGACUGGACCGUUUCCGCUGGAAAAUGCCAGCUCAUCAGAAGGCAAGGUGUUUCACAGGAACAUGCUGCCUUUGACAAAAAUUUGUUUCAAAGGAAAAAUUGGGGAUGCGGGGGGGGACGUUUGCCUGAUAAGGUCAAAAUGUUCAGUUUCAACCUUUUCCGAGCAGAACAUUUCAAUCGUCCGCUGCAGACGGAUGCUUCAUUUCAAUACUGUACUAAAAAAUGUAAAUAA